Molecule: ribosomal RNA, 506 nt
Filed under: uncultured bacterium
Lineage: Bacteria
Description: partial 16S ribosomal RNA
Rfam family: Bacterial small subunit ribosomal RNA
Source: RNAcentral
AUUGAACGCUGGCGGCAGGCCUAACACAUGCAAGUCGAACGGCAGCACAGAAGAGCUUGCUCUUUGGGUGGCGAGUGGCGGACGGGUGAGUAAUGUCUGGGAAACUGCCCGAUGGAGGGGGAUAACUACUGGAAACGGUAGCUAAUACCGCAUAACGUCGCAAGACCAAAGUGGGGGACCUUCGGGCCUCAAACCAUCGGAUGUUCCCAGAUGGGAUUAGCUAGUAGGUGGGGUAAUGGCUCACCUAGGCGACGAUCCCUAGCUGGUCUGAGAGGAUGACCAGCCAAACUGGAACUGAGACACGGUCCAGACUCCGACGGGAGGCAGCAGUGGGGAAUAUUGCACAAUGGGCGCAAGCCUUAUGCAGCCAUGCCGCGUGUAUGAAGAAGGCCUUCGGGUUGUAAAGUACUUUCAGCGGGGAGGAAGGCGGUGAGGUUAAUAACCUCGCCGAUUGACGUUACCCGCAGAAGAAGCACCGGCUAACUCCGUGCCAGCAGCCGCAGUAA